UGGAAGUGAUGAAAUAGAGAUAAUUGGAUGUCUUAUUGAAUGGAGUAUGUGUGAUAAAUGGAAUUCAAACUGAGUCAAGCUGGGGGUGGGGGGUGGGGAAUGUGUGUGUGUGUGUGUGUGUGUGUGUGUGCGUGCAUGUAUAGAAAAGGCUUUGAAUGGGGGCACUGAUAAUGCAGUGCUGAUUCCGGAGUGCAUCUGAGGCAUGUUGUUAACUUCCAGGGUGCCACUUUACAACAUUGCCGAUGAUUAAAGCCCAAAACAAGCCCACCAAGACAAGCCUAAGCAUCCUUAAUCUCUAACAGGUUCAUGAAUGAAAGUGAUCCUGUGAUCUGAUCCAA
This 338-nucleotide small nucleolar RNA is filed under the name Otus sunia (Oriental scops-owl). Its description in RNAcentral is "Small Cajal body-specific RNA 7 (ENSOSUG00000000178.1)". It matches the Rfam family "Small Cajal body-specific RNA 7". Lineage: Eukaryota; Metazoa; Chordata; Aves; Strigiformes; Strigidae. The record is from Rfam by way of RNAcentral.